Mustela erminea (ermine) is the source of this 3626-nucleotide long non-coding RNA. RefSeq lists it as uncharacterized. NCBI's taxonomy places the organism in Eukaryota, Metazoa, Chordata, Mammalia, Carnivora, Mustelidae. The transcript is spliced from 3 exons. The record is from RefSeq and is a predicted model, not a curated record.
AUGUAGGACCUAAAAUAAUUGGAUAACAAAGAAACUUGAGCAUUUGAAGCUAAAUGGAAAAAAAAAUUAAUUCAGACACAGGAUAAAAAAAAAAAAACAGCUUCCAGGAUUUUCGAAGGAACAACCGAAGAAUAUCAAGACUGUUCAUCCCUCUGAGCUGGAAAGAGCAGAUGGACACCAGAGCACAGGGAAGAGGCCAAGGCGGCAUCCCCCUCUUUCAGCGGGUGACUUCCCAUAUCUGCCUUCCUGGACUGAUGCCUUCCUCUCCCCAUUAGGAAGGUGGCCUAGAGGUGUACAGCCUCAGGAGAUAAAGUAGUGUGAGGGAGUUGUGGGGGACUCAGAAGCCGUGAGCUGGGGAGGGAGGAACUCUCCCUUGAACCUCUGUUGGGCCGCACUGGUGAAGGAAGUUUGUGUUUCUAAUGCCUUUUGAUGGUCAGGAUUUUACUGGGUCUUAAAUCAUUUCUAGAGGAAUUUAUUCGAGGGUACAAAUCCAGAAAGAUGUUUUGUUUCUUAGAAACCUAUUAAUAGCUAAGGUUAUUUUAGGAAAUGUCACCGAGGGGAGGGUGGCGAUGUUUAGUGAAUGUGUCUUCCCCCCGCUGAGGCACAGAACCCCUUCUGUCAUGUUCCACAUUUCCAUGUGAUUGAGGAGCUAAUUCUGAGCUCUGUUCUCAUCCACUCAUCUUUCUCCCCCAUUUCAUGUGGUUCUUCACUUUUCUAUACUGUUUUAAUAUAAUUUCACAAUAUAUUUUAAUAUCCCUUGUAGCCAGACUAGGCGCUACCCAUGCUCAUUACUGUUUUUUCCUUUCUUUAAUUUCAAACCAGCAAAAAUUGAGUUUCGAAAAAAUUAUACAAGGAAUACUUCUAUUCCCCUUUGCCAAGACUGGCAGGAAGUGGCUUUUUUAAGCCAUCACCAUCGUGUUUUUCUGAGUUCCUGGAGUGUGCAGAUUGCAGAUCCCCGCUCUGAACACGGACGUGCUUGCAGCUUUCUGAGUACGAAGAGCUGUAAGAGCAGCUCAGGGGUCAGGCGCUGUUACCAUCACCACACUUAGUGUAAUUCAUAAAUUAAAGCACAGAGCAAAUAAAAUGAGACGCAGACCAAGCCCCCUGAGGACAGAGCUCGCUCGCUGUGUUUCAACAGUUCAUGGGUUGGCCACGGGAGCCACCUGCAUGAAAUUUGGAAGUGGACAGGAAGCAGCAGCGCUACUUCCUCACCAGAGAUCGCCGACGUCAGGCCACCACUACAUCUUAGGCUCCGGUUCAAGGACUGCUGCCCUGUGCUGGGCCCAGCAGCCAGGUUCAUGGCCACUCCAGCUCCCACAGAACUCUGCCUUCAGUUCUUCCAAAUCGCAGGCCAGGUAUGAAUCGAGCUUCACCUGUUAAGUCAUCAGCAGGAGGAUGAGGCUUCGAGAAGAGGGGAAACUGGCGUGGGUCCUGGCGAGAGGCAUGCCAGUUCCAGCCGGUUGCUCACAGGCUGCAGCUGUCCUGGCCAUCUCAGAUCACACUGCCACCUUCUUUUCCGACCGCCUGCCCAGUGACUUCACCUGCACCAGAAACAGCUCAACUGGGGCUUGCUUAGCAGCACCCGUAAUGAAGUACGCAAGGUCAGUCCUUCAACGCCCCUGCUCCUGAUUCUGUGUCUGUCACUCCUAGUGUCCAGCUUGACCUUUGGCAGAUACCUUCAUUUCCCUGAGCCUGUUUCCACUUCCCUGUGGUGUGAGCUGGGCUGGACAGGCUAUCGGGCCCCUUCCAGCUCCAGGAUUCCACUUCUGUGAUUGAUACUCUAGCCACAUCUUUACCUGUUGUCUCUGAGCAGUGGCCCUGUGUUUUGGAAGUGACUUCACAUUCUGAGCUCCCAACGGAGCUUGUUUCCUUCUUUUUGUUUUAUUAGAAAAUAUCCAGUGACUCCUUUCUUUUGAGCAUCUGUUUUGCUGAUCUAUGACCUCUGCCUCUGUAUGUAUGAACAUUGUCAAACACACCUCUAUAAACUUCAGUGUCCUUGUAAAACUCGUUGUAGUGGAAGUUGGUAGGAGCUGGCCUUCACCCCGUGUUGUGUGUGCAUGCCAGUUUACAGCGUGUGAGAGUGUAGAUCUCAUGAGAAUCUAUAUAAUUUGACAGAUGUCACGUCUUUGUUGCCCUUGAAGUUCUGUCCUUAGGAACAGAAUUUAUAUCUCUGCAGGGUCAGCACUGGAUGAAAUGUAUGAUAAGGACUCCAUACCCCAAGAUGCAGGAGUGCACUCAAGGAACAAGGCAAGCUUUUUGUUUGUUACAAUCUCCUUCGCUUUUCCCACCAACAUAUAAGGAGGGUACGUUACGGUUGUCACAAACAUGCAGUUUCCAAGGUUACAUACACUAACGGUGCUGGGGGACUGACAUGGGGCCCCUGCUUCUGUGGAUUUGUAGAACUGACUCAGCUGUGGCCGUUCCCUUAGCAAGUCCCAAGGCAAAACCAGGAAUCUUCAGGAAUGGAAGCUGGGAGCAAGCCUUGAUUAAUAUUCUAGGAUGCAGGACAGUAAUGUUCAGAGAAAAGCACCUGUACAAAUGUUACUAGAUCUAAAACGAUUCUGCUUGGUGUCAGAAAACAAAACCAGAUGGUAUUAAAAAUGGCAGUGACGAAAAAAAAAUUGGCAGUGACGGCUUUGACGUGAAAAGUUUCUGUCAACUAGUGCCGGUAGUACACCCUUGCCUUGACAUCUCUAUCUUCCUUUCCCUUAGCCUGAGCUCUGGUCUAAUAUUCCUUGUCAAACCCAAACCAGUCUUCCCAUACUAGCCUGUUCUUACUGGCCUCUAAGAGGUUCCCAGAUCUGUGUGCUUAAGUCGUAACAGACUUGGCCUUCAGGAGCUCCCAAGAUCUGCACCUUCUCAUCUGAAGCCUCUCCCUGAACAUCUGCUCACACACGCCGCCGCCUUCCUCUCUGGAGGCAGACGUGCUCCCACUCCCUUUGCUCUUCCAUCCUGUGUCUGCCUCUGGUUCUUUGCCAGGUGCAGGCCAAGGCCGCUCUUAGUCUUGGCUCACCCAGUACCAUCCCUCUUGCUUUUCAAUUUUCUUAAAGUUAACUUCAUCUCAGAAGCCUGUCCCAACCAACUUAAGUGACAUCACCUGUGAUUCUUAUUCCAAAGUAAUAUGCUUUAUUAUGAAGCAUAUUUAUGGGGGUAGUAAAAUCUUUAUUCCUUUGAUGAGGCUAAGCUACUAGUCUCCUAAAUUGUCCUAUGCAGUGUACUUUAUAAGCAGAGGCGUCCUGAAGAUGUACAUGGCAAGGAUGGAGAACAGAUCUUUAAUGAGUAUUCCCCAUUUUUCCUAUAAGAAUUAUAAAACCAUUUACAUAUACCGUUAGAAUGUGCCAUGAAUGUGCAUCUGGUCUUCUUCCUCCCUAUACUUGUUCUCGGUUCAGUCAGUCAGCAAAUAUUUACCAAGUGUCUAGGGCUCCCCGCUGUAGUGUGCAUGGGUACAGGCAUUGAAGAACGAAGGCCAGUUUGGAACUCUCAGCCAACGAGCUGGUGUUUCGUGGGAAGGACGGCACACGUACUGUAUCUGGUGCCCUCACCACUUUAUUUUAUUUAUUUAUUCAUCUAUUUAUUUAUUUAUUUAUUUAUUAAGAUUUUUAUUUAUUUAUUUGACAGACAGAGAU